UACGGAGACUGCGAGCGUUACUCGGAUUCACUGGGCGUAAAGGAUGCGUAGGCGGUUAGGUGUGUCAGGUGUGAAAUCUCGGGGCUUAACUCCGAAACUGCGCCUGAAACUAUCUAACUAGAGUCUCGGAGGGGUGAGCGGAAUUCCCGGUGUAGCGGUGAAAUGCAUAGAUAUCGGGAGGAACACCAAUGGCGAAGGCAGCUCACUGGACGAGUACUGACGCUGAGGCAUGAAAGCGUGGGUAGCGAAAGGGAUUAGAUACCCCCGUAGUCC
Molecule: ribosomal RNA, 273 nt
Filed under: uncultured bacterium
Lineage: Bacteria
Description: partial 16S ribosomal RNA
Rfam family: Bacterial small subunit ribosomal RNA
Source: RNAcentral